AACGUACGCUGGCGGCACGCCUAACACAUGCAAGUCGAACGAAGUAGCAAUACUUAGUGGCAGACGGGUGAGUAACAUGUGGGUAUCUGCCCUUUGGCCUGGAAUAACACGAGGAAACUUGUGCUAAUACCGGAUAAGUCUUUACGGAGAAAGCUUUAUGCACCAUUGGAUGAGCCCGCACUUGAUUAGUUUGUUGGUGGGGUAAUGGCCUACCAAGACUGUGAUCAAUAGCUGAUUUGAGAGGAUGAUCAGCCACAUUGGGACUGAGACACGGCCCAAACUCCUACGGGAGGCAGCAGUGGGGAAUCUUGCACAAUGGAGGAAACUCUGAUGCAGCGAUGCCGCGUGAGUGAAGAAGGCCCUUGGGUUGUAAAGCUCUUUCGUCGGGGAAGAAAAUGACUGUACCCGAAUAAGAAGGUCCGGCUAACUUCGUGCCAGCAGCCGCGGUAAUACGAAGGGACCUAGCGUAGUUCGGAAUUACUGGGCUUAAAGAGUUCGUAGGUGGUUGAAAAAGUUAGUGGUGAAAUCCCAGAGCUUAACUCUGGAACUGCCAUUAAAACUUUUCAGCUAGAGUAUGAUAGAGGAAAGCAGAAUUUCUAGUGUAGAGGUGAAAUUCGUAGAUAUUAGAAAGAAUACCAAUUGCGAAGGCAGCUUUCUGGAUCAUUACUGACACUGAGGAACGAAAGCAUGGGUAGCGAAGAGGAUUAGAUACCCUCGUAGUCCAUGCCGUAAACGAUGUGUGUUAGACGUUGGAAAUUUAUUUUCAGUGUCGCAGCGAAAGCGAUAAACACACCGCCUGGGGAGUACGACCGCAAGGUUAAAACUCAAAUGAAUUGACGGGGACCCGCACAAGUAGUGGAGCAUGUGGUUUAAUUCGAAGAUACGCGCAGAACCUUACCAACACUUGACAUGUUCGUCGCGACUCUAAGAGAUUAGAGUUUUCGGUUCGGCCGGACGAAACACAGGUGCUGCAUGGCUGUCGUCAGCUCGUGUCGUGAGAUGUUGGGUUAAGUCCCGCAACGAGCGCAACUCUCACUUUUAGUUGCCAUCAUUAAGUUGGGCACUCUGAAAGAACUGCCAGUGAUAAGCUGGAGGAAGGUGGGGAUGACGUCAAGUCCUCAUGGCCCUUACGUGUUGGGCUACACACGUGCUACAAUGGUAUCUACAACAGGAAGCAAGACUGCGAGGUCAAGCAAAUCCUUAAAAGAUACCUCAGUUCGGAUUGCACUCUGCAACUCGAGUGCAUGAAGCUGGAAUUACUAGUAAUCGUGGAUCAGCGUGCCACGGUGAAUGCGUUCCCGGGUCUUGUACACACCGCCCGUCACACCAUGGGAGUUGGUUCUACCUUAAGGCAAGGUUUCAAACCCUUGACCACGGUAUAGUCAGCGACUGGGGUG
Molecule: ribosomal RNA, 1397 nt
Filed under: uncultured marine bacterium
Lineage: Bacteria
Description: bacterial SSU rRNA
Rfam family: Bacterial small subunit ribosomal RNA
Source: RNAcentral